AUGCUCUGUAACCCAAAGCUCCGGCGCCCUAGGAUGGGUCUGCGGCCGAUUAGGUUGUUGUCGGGGUAACGGCCCAACAAGCCGAUCAUCGGUACGGGUUGUGGGAGCAAGAGCCCGGAGAUGGAUUCUGAGACAUGAAUCCAGGCCCUACGGGGCGCAGCAGGCGCGAAAACUUUACAAUGCGGGAAACCGUGAUAAGGGGACCCCGAGUGCCUGUACACGCAGGCUGUUCAGGUGUUUAAAACGCAUCUGGAGAAAGGGCCGGGCAAGACCGGUGCCAGCCGCCGCGGUAAUACCGGCGGCUCGAGUGGUGGCCACUAUUACUGGGCUUAAAGCGUCCGUAGCCGGGUCGUUAAGUCUCCCGGGAAAUCCAACGGCUUAACCGUUGGGCGUUCGGGGGAUACUGGCGAUCUAGGGAUCGGGGGAGGUGAGAGGUACUCUAGGGGUAGGAGUGAAAUCCUGUAAUCCUUGGGGGACCACCUGUGGCGAAGGCGUCUCACCAGAACGACUCCGACGGUGAGGGACGAAAGCUGGGGGAGCAAACCGGAUUAGAUACCCGGGUAGUCCCAGCUGUAAACGAUGCGCGUUAGGUGUAUCGGUGACUACGAGUUACCGAGGUGCCGAAGGGAAACCGUGA
Molecule: ribosomal RNA, 637 nt
Filed under: uncultured archaeon
Lineage: Archaea
Description: bacterial SSU rRNA
Rfam family: Archaeal small subunit ribosomal RNA
Source: RNAcentral